UACGUAGGGGCAAGCGUUAUCCGGAAUCACUGGGCGUAAAGGGAGCGUAGGCGGUUUGACAAGCCAGAGGUGAAAGGCAAUAGCUUAACUAUUGUAAGCCUUUGGAACUGUCGAACUUGAGUGCAGGAGAGGAAAGUGGAAUUCCUAGUGUAGAGGUGAAAUUCGUAGAUAUCGGGAGGAAUACCGGUGGCGAAGGCGACUUUCUGGACGAAUACUGACGCUGAGGCGCGAAAGCGUGGGGAGCAAACAGGAUUAGAAACCCC
Molecule: ribosomal RNA, 263 nt
Filed under: uncultured bacterium
Lineage: Bacteria
Description: partial 16S ribosomal RNA
Rfam family: Bacterial small subunit ribosomal RNA
Source: RNAcentral